UGUGAAAGUUGGAUUUCGAGCUCCUCUUGGAUAGAUGGCUAACUACCUCUCUCCGCCAGAUACUCCAACCGGACUUCAGCCGGCAGACCUUCGCCCCUGGCGCGCUGCAGUAACAGCCACGAUUCUGCUCCAUUCCCUGCGGCAGAUUCCAUGCGGCUCCAUCACUCCACGACCCUGCUCCACCUCCUGCGAUGGAUUCCACGCGGCUCCAUCACUCCCUGGUAGGCCAUAAUAAUGGCCACGGUCCUGCUCCACUUCCUGUGACGGAUACCGCGCGAUUCUUCUAUCCUCUGGCAAGUCGCGAC
This 305-nucleotide long non-coding RNA is filed under the name Elaeis guineensis (African oil palm). RNAcentral describes it as "long non-coding RNA (EGUI_LNC058181)". Lineage: Eukaryota; Viridiplantae; Streptophyta; Magnoliopsida; Arecales; Arecaceae. The record is from RNAcentral.